GUCAAGAUGGCUGAGUUGGUCUCAUAUGCCAGUUUCAGGGUACUGGUCCGAAAGGGCAUGGGUUCGAAUCCCAUUCUUGGAUA
RNAcentral lists this transfer RNA (83 nucleotides) under Datura stramonium (jimsonweed). RNAcentral's name for it is "tRNA-Ser". The record is from RNAcentral. Lineage: Eukaryota; Viridiplantae; Streptophyta; Magnoliopsida; Solanales; Solanaceae.